CGUACGCACCCUACUCCUAUAAUGAACAUAAUGUAGCCAACAUAUACUACAAAGAUCUAAAUAGCUAGAAGAUCAUAUUUAUAUAUAGUCAAACUACAGCUCAUCCAUGGUGAGCAGUCGAGGCAUCGUAGAUCAAAGAACUACUCACACCACUGUAGCAUCAAGAAGAUCACUGAUGAGUGAGUAGAUAUUUAUGUGAUCUCUUAUUUUAUCAUGUUUAGUAUCAAUGUUCUAUAACA
Molecule: long non-coding RNA, 239 nt
Filed under: Elaeis guineensis (African oil palm)
Lineage: Eukaryota; Viridiplantae; Streptophyta; Magnoliopsida; Arecales; Arecaceae
Description: long non-coding RNA (EGUI_LNC012807)
Source: RNAcentral